UCCCUUGUAGCUCAGUCGGUAAAGAAUCUGCCUGCAAUGCAGGAGACCCGGGUUCAAUUCCUGGGUUGGGAA
Molecule: transfer RNA, 72 nt
Filed under: Muntiacus reevesi (Reeves' muntjac)
Lineage: Eukaryota; Metazoa; Chordata; Mammalia; Artiodactyla; Cervidae
Also listed under: 4 other names
Rfam family: tRNA
About the family: Transfer RNA (tRNA) molecules are approximately 80 nucleotides in length. Their secondary structure includes four short double-helical elements and three loops (D, anti-codon, and T loops). Further hydrogen bonds mediate the characteristic L-shaped molecular structure. tRNAs have two regions of fundamental functional importance: the anti-codon, which is responsible for specific mRNA codon recognition, and the 3' end, to which the tRNAs corresponding amino acid is attached (by aminoacyl-tRNA synthetases). tRNAs cope with the degeneracy of the genetic code in two manners: having more than one tRNA (with a specific anti-codon) for a particular amino acid; and 'wobble' base-pairing, i.e. permitting non-standard base-pairing at the 3rd anti-codon position.
Source: Rfam by way of RNAcentral